GAUGAAGAACGUAGCAAAAUGCGAUAAGUAAUGUGAAUUGCAGAAUUCAGUGAAUCAUCGAAUCUUUUAACGCACAUUGCGCCCGCUGGUAUUCCGGCGGGCAUGCCUGUUCGAGCGUCAUUUCAACCCUCAAGCCCCCGGGUUUGGUGUUGGGGAUCGGCUCUGCCCUUCUGGGCGGUGCCGCCCCCGAAAUACAUUGGCGGUCUCGCUGCAGCCUCCAUUGCGUAGUAGCUAACACCUCGCAACUGGAACGCGGCGCGGCCAUGCCGUAAAACCCCAACUUCUGAAUGUUGACCUCGGAUCAGGUAGGAAUACCCGCUGAACUUAAGCAUAUCAAUAAGCGGAGGA
This 348-nucleotide unclassified non-coding RNA is filed under the name soil metagenome. Its description in RNAcentral is "partial contains 5.8S ribosomal RNA, internal transcribed spacer 2, and large subunit ribosomal RNA". The stretch from base 1 to 120 matches the Rfam family "5.8S ribosomal RNA", at positions 35 to 154 of the family's 154-position model. The record is from RNAcentral.